RNAcentral lists this ribosomal RNA (253 nucleotides) under uncultured bacterium. RNAcentral describes it as "partial 16S ribosomal RNA". It matches the Rfam family "Bacterial small subunit ribosomal RNA", at positions 524 to 776 of the family's 1533-position model. The record is from RNAcentral.
UACGUAGGGGGCAAGCGUUGUCCGGAAUCAUUGGGCGUAAAGAGCGUGUAGGCGGUCCGUUAAGUCGGCUGUGAAAGUCCAAGGCUCAACCUUGGGAUGCCGGUCGAUACUGCCGGACUAGAGUUCGGAAGAGGCGAGUGGAAUUCCCGGUGUAGCGGUGAAAUGCGCAGAUAUCAGGAAGAACACCAAUGGCGAAGGCAGCUCGCUGGGACGCGACUGACGCUGAGACGCGAAAGCGUGGGGAGCAAACAGG